GCGGGUGUAGCUCAGUUGGUUAGAGCGCCAGGUUGUGGUCUUGGAUGUCGUCGGUUCGAACCCGAUCACUCGCCCCA
RNAcentral lists this transfer RNA (77 nucleotides) under Magnetospirillum moscoviense. RNAcentral describes it as "tRNA-His". It matches the Rfam family "tRNA". From Rfam's summary of the family: Transfer RNA (tRNA) molecules are approximately 80 nucleotides in length. Their secondary structure includes four short double-helical elements and three loops (D, anti-codon, and T loops). Further hydrogen bonds mediate the characteristic L-shaped molecular structure. tRNAs have two regions of fundamental functional importance: the anti-codon, which is responsible for specific mRNA codon recognition, and the 3' end, to which the tRNAs corresponding amino acid is attached (by aminoacyl-tRNA synthetases). tRNAs cope with the degeneracy of the genetic code in two manners: having more than one tRNA (with a specific anti-codon) for a particular amino acid; and 'wobble' base-pairing, i.e. permitting non-standard base-pairing at the 3rd anti-codon position. RNAcentral also lists the same sequence under 1 other name. Lineage: Bacteria; Pseudomonadati; Pseudomonadota; Alphaproteobacteria; Rhodospirillales; Rhodospirillaceae. The record is from RNAcentral.